AUUAUAUUAGUUUAUUUAAAAUUUUAUUUUGUGAUAAUAAAGAUCUUUUUAGAUAUAAUA
Molecule: transfer RNA, 60 nt
Filed under: Mahmutkashgaria sulcatus
Lineage: Eukaryota; Metazoa; Arthropoda; Insecta; Hemiptera; Delphacidae
Description: tRNA-His
Source: RNAcentral